This 485-nucleotide ribosomal RNA is filed under the name uncultured bacterium. Its description in RNAcentral is "bacterial SSU rRNA". It matches the Rfam family "Bacterial small subunit ribosomal RNA", at positions 28 to 526 of the family's 1533-position model. The record is from RNAcentral.
GACGAACGCUGGCGGCGUGCUUAACACAUGCAAGUCGAACGGUGAUCCGCUUUCGGGCGGUGAUCAGUGGCGAACGGGUGAGUAACACGUGGGCAAUCUGCCCCUCACUUCGGGAUAACUCCGGGAAACCGGGGCUAAUACCGGAUAUCAUCCCUCGGGGCAUCCUGGGGGGUUGAAAGGGUUUACUGGUGAGGGAUGAGCCCGCGGCCUAUCAGCUAGUUGGUGGGGUAGUGGCCUACCAAGGCGACGACGGGUAGCCGGCCUGAGAGGGCGACCGGCCAGAAUGGGACUGAGACACGGCCCAGACUCCUACGGGAGGCAGCAGUGGGGAAUAUUGCGCAAUGGGCGGAAGCCUGACGCAGCAACGCCGCGUGGGGGAACGAAGGCCUUAGGGUUGUAAACCUCUUUCAGCAGGGACGAAGCGUGAGUGACGGUACCUGCAGAAGAAGCACCGGCUAACUACGUGCCAGCCGCCGCAGUAAAAC